CUGCUUGUAGCCUUUGUGAAAAGCAGGACCAUGAGCAGCCAGGAAUGGAUGCAUGCUUGGGAGAGCAUUGUCAUAGCCGUGGUCACCUACUAAAAAGGAGAAAUGCAAAGUUAAUAAAUAUAAAAUUAAUGUUGUAAACUAAGUUGCUUACGAACUUUGUCAGCUAUGAUAUUAACUUUUUUUUUUAAAGGAGUGGACAAUAAAGUAAUGCAACACUUGUACUAAUACCUGAAAGCCACAAGAAUAUUUCCAUAGCAAAGUUUCCUAUUUAAAAAUUAACAGGGCACUUUGCUGGAGUUUCUUUGGAUUAGAACGCAAUCUCUAUAUUCCCCUCAGAAAUGUGAAUCCAGGCAAAAGAUUUGAAUUACGAAAGUGACUGUCAUCACUGUCUAUGAUAUGAUAGGUUUGUAGCCAGAUUUGUUCUUUAAAAAGUGGUCAAGGUAGGUAAAUGUACUAAUUCACAGUGAUUCAGCAAUAGUUUUAACAGGCACUUUAACUUCCAGUUCACAUAUAGGACAUGCAGCAAUUUGUGGGUUUAAAAAAAAAAAGUCAUUGCAGUAAAAAUCCAUUGAAGACAAAAACUGUAUUGUAAUUUUUAUGAUUCUAGCAGUAUGGAAAGCAGCAGGGUAGUUUUUGCUAGGGUUUUUUUUGUUAAGAGUAAAUAAUCUUGUUUUUCUCUAGGAUGAACAAACUCCAGAGUAGGACAUUAUUUUGAAUGCAAACAAACAGCAACAAGCAACAACUAAAUCAAUAUAGAAACCAAACAUCUUCCUUGUGUCCUGCUAUGACAGCUGUACUUUACUGGGCCACUCAUGUUGUUGGUUCAUGGACUGAACUCUUCAGGACCAACAGCUGGCCUCUUUUGUGCACGUGGAACCCAUUUCUAAUAGUCUGCCAGGCUCAGAAUUUGAAGAGUUUCAGGAUGCAGAGUAGAAGCACUCUUCAAUUUUGGCCUUUAUCUGGUGAUCACUCUAGCAGAAGGGAACAGUGGGGUGUUUUGUUUGUUUUUUUAUAGCAACUAUUCUAAAGACACUAUUUGCUUUAAACUUGUAUGAGAUAACACAAUGGUUACUGUUUGCAUAUUAAAUACAUUGUUUCUUUCCACGGUCAACAAUCUGUGGGACUGUAGACUAGGUGUCUGUGAAAGACUGACUGAAAACUGAACAGAAUUCAGCUAUAGAUCCACAGAUUUCCAAAGAGGUCCAUGCCUCCAUUUGAAAUUUCCAAAUGGGGUCCACAAAUGAAAAGGACUGAGAACUGCUGACUUAAGAAAAAGUCUUUUUUGUAAUAUUAUUUUAUGACCAACCAUUCAAAAGACUAGAUAUAUAGAGCGUCAGAAAUAGCACUAACACUGAAAUCUAUGGGAUAGGUCAGCAAAACAGAUCACAAAACAUAUGGGGUUUCCAUCUCUUAUUAUAUUGUAUACGUAUGGAUAUAAAAAGCUUAGACAGCUACUUAUUGUGACUGGUCAGUUCUAAGAGUUUGCAGCACUUUAGUGUGUAUGGAGACUGAAUCUAUCCAAGCUAGAGUCCUCAUCCAAGGUUUCUUCACGAUCUGAGUAACUCAACAAAUUACCCAUCAGACAGAGCCUUUGCAAAUAUCCUGUAUAUAUCCAAUUCUUGGUGGCAGUUUGUCCAAAGAGCAUUUUUGAGAGUAAUAUUCAGGAUUUUGAAAUGGGAUUUUGUAAUUUACAUGAUCUCAUGAUCCAGUGACAGUCUCUCCAGUAAGAUUAUUUUGUUUAGCGAUUUUGUAAUGUCAGUGUUGAAAUAAAUCAUAAAUAACU
This is a long non-coding RNA of Gopherus evgoodei (Goodes thornscrub tortoise), 1783 nucleotides long. RefSeq lists it as uncharacterized. The transcript has 3 exons. The record is from RefSeq and is a predicted model, not a curated record. Lineage: Eukaryota; Metazoa; Chordata; Testudines; Testudinidae.